UACAGAGGUCCCGAGCGUUGUUCGGAUUCACUGGGCGUAAGGGUGCGUAGGUGGUGAGGUAAGUCGGAUGUGAAAUCUCCGGGCUCAACCCGGAAAUGGCAUUGGAAACUACCUUGCUGGAGGAUUUGAGGGGGGAUUGGAAUACUUGGUGUAGCAGUGAAAUGCGUAGAUAUCAAGUGGAACACCAGUGGCGAAGGCGAAUCCCUGGAAAAUACCUGACACUGAGGCACGAAAGCUAGGGGAGCAAACAGG
RNAcentral lists this ribosomal RNA (252 nucleotides) under uncultured bacterium. RNAcentral's name for it is "partial 16S ribosomal RNA". It matches the Rfam family "Bacterial small subunit ribosomal RNA", at positions 524 to 776 of the family's 1533-position model. The record is from RNAcentral.